Molecule: ribosomal RNA, 396 nt
Filed under: uncultured bacterium
Lineage: Bacteria
Description: bacterial SSU rRNA
Rfam family: Bacterial small subunit ribosomal RNA
Source: RNAcentral
AACGAACGCUGGCGGCGUGCUUAACACAUGCAAGUCGAACGCGAAAGGGACUUCGGUCCUGAGUAGAGUGGCGCACGGGUGAGUAACGCGUAGAUAAUCUGUCCUUGUGUCUGGAAUAAUACGUCGAAAGGUGUACUAAUACCGGAUAUUCUUGUUUUUCUUAAGACAGGCAAGCAAAGGUGGCCUCUGACAUAAGCUACUGCAUAAGGAGGAGUCUGCGUACCAUUAGCUAGUAGGUGGGGUAAUGGCCUACCUAGGCUACGAUGGUUAACGGUCUGAGAGGAUGAUCCGUCACACUGGCACUGGGAACACGGGCCAGACUCCUACGGGAGGCAGGCAGGUGAGGAAUAUUGCGCAAGUGGGGGACAACCCGUGACGCAGCGACGCCGCGUGAGU